GUGCCCUAGCCCGCCUGCUUCCGUGCUCAGCCCUGGGCACCACAUUUUAGGAAGGAGAUUGAUGAACUGGGGAGGUUCUAGAAGAGAGGGACGACACCGAGGCAGAGUCACGGGAGGGCCUGGGAAGAGCGCUAAGGAGGCCGCAGUUGGCUACUCACUAGUUGUGUGGCUGCAGACAAGUGACUGAUUUGCCUUUGCCGAUCCCCGACUCUGCGAGUCAGAAGCAGCGUCUUCCCCGCCUGAGGAGGAGCCCCGCCCGCAGCACUCAUAACUAACGCUCGGCUAACCAGUUGUCCUGUGGCCCUGUGCCGCACAGGACUCUGCCUCGGGAAGACCGAAUGCAGAGCAGAGCGUGAUAUUGGCACGUGUUUUGUUGUUCUUGUUUGCGGGUUUCCAGCUUCUAUCUGGUUCUUUCUUGCGCCACGCGGCACACGCGGAAACGGGCCGGGAAGGCCGCGCACGUGCAGCCUGCGUCGGACGGCUGGCUUGCUGGGGAGCGGGGCGGCGGGGGCAGGGAUCCGGAGGCCGGGGCUUGCGGAGGCUGACGCUGAGAACGCCCGGCCUGUCGCUGGGAAAAGUAAAAGCGCCAGAAUAAGAGCGAUGUUUUACUGAGAGAACGACGAGCCAACAGCAUCGGAGGGUGUGUUCGCGCCGCGGCCCUGCCACGGACCAGCCGGACCCCCGGGGGACGCUCGGCUGCCCCUCAAAGGGGGACGCGACCCCCUCAGAGUCGUCGGGCAGAAAGUUCCGCCGCCCGGAGAGGAGCCCGGGGAUGGGGCCGUGCGCGCUCCGUCCGAGAGCGGGGGCGCGGCGGCCUCUGACGGGCAGAGCCUGCUGUGCCCUCGGGCCAGGACGGGGCCGGACUGAGAAAGGGACAGGUGAGGAAACUGAGGCUAAACUGAGGUGCAGCGGUUUGUCCAGGAUCACAAAGCUAGGAAGAGUCUGAGGCCAGAUUUGAACUCGGGAACUUCUGAGUCCAAGUAUGGCACUCUUAUCCACUAGCCCCUAUGAACGAGAAGUGCUUCAUGAGCAUGGUAGACAAGCUGGGUCAAAACAUGGAAGAAGGAAAUGGAUUUCCCAUGUGGAGAAUAGCAAGCUGGCCAGUUUUGCUGGAGCAUAAGAAGGAGUGAAGGGAAGUAAUGUGAAAUAGACUGGAACAGUGGCCUGAAGUCGGGUUGCAGAGGGUAUUAAAGCACAGACUGAAGAGGGUGAAUUUUAUUCUGGGGGGGAAGAGAAACAUCAAAGAUUUUUGAGUAGGAAGGUGAUGAUCCGUCACCAGGAGAAGGGGGAAAUUGCUGUGUGAUGGUGAGAUAAUCAGUUUGUUGAACUGAGUAAUAAACUGGACAAAACAAUUGCAUUUUGGUCUUGGUCUUCUCAUAUUCUGGUUGCGUGACAUUGGCCAGAUGCCUUAACUAGGACAAACAAUUUUUUAAAUUUAAAUCCAACAAUCAGAAUUGAGUGUGAAGAAGGCCUGUUCUCCCUCUUGAACAAAAACCAUUAUGUGAGAGAUUGCCAUAAACUUUCUCAGAAUUAGGAAAGAAGAUUUUUCUGAAUGAUGAGGUUUAAGACAUUGGAGCAAAAAUGGAGUAAAGAAGGUUUUGUGUUCUAGC
Molecule: long non-coding RNA, 1610 nt
Organism: Sarcophilus harrisii (Tasmanian devil)
Lineage: Eukaryota; Metazoa; Chordata; Mammalia; Dasyuromorphia; Dasyuridae
Source: Ensembl